UUCAGGGGGGGAACGGGUGAGUAACGCGUGGAUGAUCUACCUAUGAGAUGGGGAUAACUAUUAGAAAUAGUAGCUAAUACCGAAUAAGGUCAGUUAAUUUGUUAAUUGAUGAAAGGAAGCCUUUAAAGCUUCGCUUGUAGAUGAGUCUGCGUCUUAUUAGCUAGUUGGUAGGGUAAAUGCCUACCAAGGCAAUGAUAAGUAACCGGCCUGAGAGGGUGAACGGUCACACUGGAACUGAGAUACGGUCCAGACUCCUACGGGAGGCAGCGGCUAAGAAUCUUCCGCAAUGGGCGAAAGCCUGACGGAGCGACACUGCGUGAAUGAAGAAGGUCGAAAGAUUGUAAAAUUCUUUUAUAAAUGAGGAAUAAGCUUUGUAGGAAAUGACAAAGUGAUGACGUUAAUUUAUGAAUAAGCCCGGCUAAUUACGUGCCAGCAGCCGCGGUAAUACGUAAGGGGCGGCCGUUG
Molecule: ribosomal RNA, 465 nt
Filed under: uncultured Borrelia sp.
Lineage: Bacteria; Pseudomonadati; Spirochaetota; Spirochaetia; Spirochaetales; Borreliaceae
Description: bacterial SSU rRNA
Rfam family: Bacterial small subunit ribosomal RNA
Source: RNAcentral